UGGGGAAUAUUGCACAAUGGGCGAAAGCCUGAUGCAGCGACGCCGCGUGGGGGAUGAAGGCCUUCGGGUUGUAAACUUCUUUUGCUCUGAACAAGGCGCACCAUGGGGUGUGUUGAGUGUAGGGGUUGAUUAGCGCCGGCUAACUACGUGCCAGCAGCCGCGGUAAUACGUAGGGCGCGAGCGUUGUCCGGAAUUAUUGGGCGUAAAGGGCUUGUAGGUGGCUGGUUGCGUCUGUCGUGAAAGCUCAUGGCUUAACUGUGGGUUUGCGGUGGGUACGGGCUGGCUUGAGUGCAGUAGGGGAGGCUGGAAUUCCUGGUGUAGCGGUGGAAUGCGCAGAUAUCAGGAGGAAUACCGGUGGCGAAGGCGGGUCUCUGGGCUGUUACUGACACUGAGGAGCGAAAGCAUGGGGAGCGAACAGG
Molecule: ribosomal RNA, 419 nt
Filed under: bacterium
Lineage: Bacteria
Also listed under: 1 other name
Description: partial 16S ribosomal RNA
Rfam family: Bacterial small subunit ribosomal RNA
Source: RNAcentral